AUUGAACGCUGGCGGCAGGCCUAACACAUGCAAGUCGAACGGUAACAGGAAGCAGCUUGCUGCUUUGCUGACGAGUGGCGGACGUGUGAGUAAUGUCUGGGAAACUGCCUGAUGGAGGGGGAUAACUACUGGAAACGGUAGCUAAUACCGCAUAACGUCGCAAGACCAAAGAGGGGGACCUUCGGGCCUCUUGCCCUCGGAUGUGCCCAGAUGGGAUUAGCUAGUAGGUGGGGUAACGGCUCACCUAGGCGACGAUCCCUAGCUGGUCUGAGAGGAUGACCAGCCACACUGGAACUGAGACACGGUCCAGACUCCUACGGGAGGCAGCAGUGGGGAAUAUUGCACAAUGGGCGCAAGCCUGAUGCAGCCAUGCCGCGUGUAUGAAGAAGGCCUUCGGGUUGUAAAGUACUUUCAGCGGGGAGGAAGGGAGUAAAGUUAAUACCUUUGCUCAUUGACGUUACCCGCAGAAGAAGCACCGGCUAACUCCGUG
Molecule: ribosomal RNA, 490 nt
Filed under: uncultured bacterium
Lineage: Bacteria
Description: partial 16S ribosomal RNA
Rfam family: Bacterial small subunit ribosomal RNA
Source: RNAcentral